GAUUGCUAAUCAGUGCUUUCAGCUCAUCGCUGCACUUGCAGCUUCACAGGGCAAAGAUGUGUUUGCUGUCAACAGUUAUGUGGUGGUCACGUGGUUGCCUCCAUAUAACAAUGAUCCUCGGCCAGCUUUACCUGAUGAUGCUGCAACCAAGGACUUCAUGUUACUUCCCUCAUUGGAGUCAGGGCACUGGAUUAUAUGUGUAAAUUACAUUU
This is a long non-coding RNA of Sinocyclocheilus anshuiensis, 212 nucleotides long. RefSeq lists it as uncharacterized. Lineage: Eukaryota; Metazoa; Chordata; Actinopteri; Cypriniformes; Cyprinidae. The transcript is spliced from 3 exons. The record is from RefSeq and is a predicted model, not a curated record.